UACCACAUAAUUGUCAGCGGGUCC
This 24-nucleotide non-coding RNA is filed under the name Mus musculus (house mouse). Lineage: Eukaryota; Metazoa; Chordata; Mammalia; Rodentia; Muridae. The record is from RNAcentral.